AUGAAGCUCAAUGUAGAUGCGGCGGUGGCAUCAUGGCGGGGAGUAGGAGCAGUGGGUGCAAUAUGCAGAGAUAGGAGCGGCAGUUUCCAGGGUGCCUCGGUGAUCGUUUUCAGAGGUAUAAUCGACUCCACUACGCUUGAGGCGCUAGCGCUGAGGGAAGCUUUGGCACUCGCGGAAGAUUUGAACGUCUCCGUUAUCCAGGUGGCCUCAGACUGCUCGGUGGUGAUAGAUGACAUUAAGAGAAAGAGUGGAGCAGAAUAUGGAGCAAUCGUGCAAGAGAUUAGAGAGUAUGCUAAGAAUUUUGCUUUAUGUAAUUUUGUUCAUGAGUUUAGAAGCUCGAAUUUCGAAGCUCACAAUCUAGCGAGACAUGCACUACAGCGGGGACCUCCAUUUCGUCCCUAUAAACAUGGUGACGUCUUAAUAAAGUUUCGCUGGUUGUCUCAAAAAAAAGGAACUCCCACACGGAUCUUUGUUGGACUAAUAACUUUAGCUUCUCAUUAUGCAUGA
RNAcentral lists this ribosomal RNA (507 nucleotides) under Triticum aestivum (bread wheat). RNAcentral's name for it is "partial small subunit ribosomal RNA". The record is from RNAcentral. Lineage: Eukaryota; Viridiplantae; Streptophyta; Magnoliopsida; Poales; Poaceae.